GGUGGAUCCAUCAGGGCCUUGAUGGGUUCAACAUCGGAAAAGAUGUACCUCUGCCAGGUACCAAACUUUGGGUUUAAAUAAUAAAGCUGAGACCGGGCGGGUGGCUUGCACGAGAAGAGAGUCUCAGUGUAGUGCCUCCGUCUGAGUCGAUUAAGGACUGUCUCAAUGUAGGCUUGCUGAUCGAGGACCUUUUAACUGGUCACAUGCCUCAUCAUGGGUAAGCUUUGCCUCGGGCAGACUAAUACUAGAAAGGCCAACACGCAAUGGGAGUGGAGAGAUGGCGAGAGUAGUGUGUACCCUCCAUGGCAAGAGGCUGGACGGUGGUGUAUCUGUGCUCUCGGUUGGCGUGAACCUGGUCUGGUCUUAAGAAACCCGUUGGCGAGUUGACAUAUGCAAGGGUUAAGUGCAACAUAUGUCGUAUGAUUGGAGAUCCCCAGCUGGGUAUUUAUCGAUUCGGAUCGCCGUUACUUCUCAGACAUGAAGACUUGGUCACUGCCCUACACAUAGCAAUCCAGUGAACUGAAGGGAUGAUAAAAAGACGGCUAGUAUAGGCCAUGUUCUUGAACUAGGAUAGAAAGAACUCUAGAUGCAGGUAACUUUACUUAACCUGACUGUUGGGGGCCUUCGGCUUCCGAAGGUCCUCAAAAACGUAAUUUGACUAUGUUUUCCAAAAGAAAUAUGUGAACAGGUACCUUCGAAGUCAGAUUGCGAGUAUACAAGAACAUGGUUAAGACGAAGCUUGAUUGGGACGGCGAUCACGACGAAGGAUAAGACGAUCACGAAGCUACGUGCAGAAGAGCUUCGGCAUAACGGCAGAAAGAGGAAACCGACUUAAAGAUGAAAGGCCAAAUUAGACCUCGAAGAAUUACUAUAGAGUUAUUGAUAAAUAUAAAGGGCAUUAAUGUAAUUUUGCAUGGGCUGCGACCCGUGCCUAUAAAUAGGUGAACAGUAUUCCCGUACUGUUCACGCUGACUGGGCAUUUACUUUUGUGUCACAC
This 997-nucleotide long non-coding RNA is filed under the name Zea mays. Its description in RNAcentral is "drought responsive lncRNA". The record is from RNAcentral. Lineage: Eukaryota; Viridiplantae; Streptophyta; Magnoliopsida; Poales; Poaceae.